This 371-nucleotide unclassified non-coding RNA is filed under the name uncultured bacterium. RNAcentral's name for it is "contains 16S-23S intergenic spacer region". The record is from RNAcentral.
UCCGGGUUGGACCCGGCGGUCCCGCCAGACAUGGUAACUGGCAGCGAGGGUUGCGCUCGUUGCGGGACUUAACCCAACACCUCACGGCAUGAGCUGACGACAGCCAUGCAGCAUCUGUGCACCCGUUUGAAUCGAAACCCAAAAGACUGUAUUUCUACAGCUGUCGAGUACAUGUCAAGCCUAGGUAAGGUUUCUCGCGUAGUGUCGAAUUAAACCACAUGUUCCACCGCUUGUGCGGACCCCCGUCAAUUCUUUUAAGUUUUAGCCUUGCGACCGUACUCCCCAGGCGAAUCACUUAACGCGUUAGCUACGACACUAAUCCAGCUAAGCCGGACUAACAUCUAGUGAUUAUCGUUUACGGCGUGGACUAC